CAUAUGACACCGGAAUGUAUGCUGCAAAACACUUUUUUUGUGUGUGAGAAAGUGAUCUAAUUUCACUUGCCACACUUCCUCAGAGACAGUCUUUCCUGGGCUCAUUCAGUCAACUCUGUGCCACAUUUCAAACCUCUGCAGAACACUGGUGCUCGGCAACACGAGAAAGGCAUCGCAAGUGGGGAGGGGACAAGAGGCCCAGCAACACAAACCAACAUCCAUCUCCCACCUGGGAGACAGACCCCUGGCAAUACAAUUGGCUGAGGGGAGCCCAGCUGUGCAACUCCAGCACCUACAGCCUCCCUACAGACACUGCAGGAUCAAGGAUGGCAGAAAAGGUUUGUGCCACAUGCUCCGUGAGGCCCGGAGAUGCCACGUCCCACCAGGAAACACUGACAUUGCUGAGAGAAUAGCAGGAAGUGGAAGCUGCCCAAGCCCACCACCAGAAACCUGCCUGGAGCCUCAGCUGUUGAUUCUGCAGAUCAGCAUUGAUCUCUGGCUACGUAGAAAGAGCUGUGUUUUCAUAAGGUCUGUCAUUAGAACCGAAAAAAGUAUAUAGGAAAGAUACAAAUAAACACACAUACUGUA
Meleagris gallopavo (turkey) is the source of this 588-nucleotide non-coding RNA. Lineage: Eukaryota; Metazoa; Chordata; Aves; Galliformes; Phasianidae. The record is from RefSeq and is a predicted model, not a curated record.